UACGUAGGGACCAAGCGUUGUUCGGAUUUACUGGGCGUAAAGGGCGCGUAGGCGGCGCUGUAAGUCACUUGUGAAAUCUCCGGGCUUAACUCGGAACGGUCAAGUGAUACUGCAGUGCUAGAGUGCGGAAGGGGCAAUCGGAAUUCUUGGUGUAGCGGUGAAAUGCGUAGAUAUCAAGAGGAACACCUGAGGUGAAGACGGGUUGCUGGGCCGACACUGACGCUGACAGCGCGAAAGCCAGGGGAGCAAACGGG
This 254-nucleotide ribosomal RNA is filed under the name uncultured bacterium. RNAcentral's name for it is "partial 16S ribosomal RNA". It matches the Rfam family "Bacterial small subunit ribosomal RNA", at positions 524 to 776 of the family's 1533-position model. The record is from RNAcentral.